CAGCAGCCGCGGUAACACGUAGGUGGCAAGCGUUGUCCGGAAUUAUUGGGCGUAAAGGGCUCGCAGGCGGUUUCUUAAGUCUGAUGUGAAAGCCCCCGGCUCAACCGGGGAGGGUCAUUGGAAACUGGGAAACUUGAGUGCAGAAGAGGAGAGUGGAAUUCCACGUGUAGCGGUGAAAUGCGUAGAGAUGUGGAGGAACACCAGUGGCGAAGGCGACUCUCUGGUCUGUAACUGACGCUGAGGAGCGAAAGCGUGGGGGGCGAACAGGAUUAGAUACCCCCGUAGUCCCUGUCUCUUAUAC
Molecule: ribosomal RNA, 301 nt
Filed under: uncultured bacterium
Lineage: Bacteria
Description: partial 16S ribosomal RNA
Rfam family: Bacterial small subunit ribosomal RNA
Source: RNAcentral